GAAAAAACAGAGGAACUUCAGUAUUCAGAUUAAGUUUUUAUCUAAAAUACAAUUUAACAAGGAAAUUAUUAUUUGGAAUUUGCAAAAUGAAAUCAUUAGUUUUCGUUCUAUUAAGUACGCUAAUCCUUAUGACUUAGACGUGCGCGAGGAUUCUAAUAAUAGCCCGCAAAUGGGACAAACCAAUUGUCUUUAUUGGUUCAAGUUCAGACGUAAUGCCACAGAAUAUAAAAUAGUAUGACGCAGUAAUACUUUCAUGAUAAUCUUUAUGAUAUAAAUCUACUAUGGUCCAUUGUUCCUUAUUCAAUAUAAAGAAAUGGCUAAAAAUUAAAUGCAUUUCUUUUUCAACGAAUAAUUAUUUUGUAAAUUUCGUAAUUCAUAGAAGUUGAGAAUGUGAAUACAUGAUGUAUUUCCUAUUUUCAUUAACUACUAUUGUCGUACUUUCAUUUCAUAAAACUAAAAAAGAAACGAAUUCCUCAACAUAUACUUAAUUAUGAGAGGCACCAACAAUUAAAAUAAAUACUAUAUUCAUUAAUCUUAUAUCCAUCAAACAUAACGUCAACAUAUAAUCAGUUAAACAAACAAUAAGGCACUCUAUAUUAUUAAAAAAGACCGAAAUCAUAUCCACCCUACACAGUCACGUUUCAGUAAACCGACGAGCUUUCAGUGAGGCAAACGUUGCCACACCGCAAUGUAGCCUUUAUAACCUUAAAUAUAAUGUUUAUGUUCAUUACCGGCUAACUUAAGACUUCAGUAUAAACUUAGAAGUUAAAACAAGCAAUGUAUGAGGCAUCACUAUUCAAAAUUUAAAUACUUAAAGUAAAAAGAAAAUUGUUGGCGGUUUGAAGUUUCUAUUUGAAAAACACGAAAGAGGUUUUAUUUAAAGUGAAUCCUAGAUGUUUGAUAGAAACUUCUUGGAGUUGUACAAUGAUUAUUUUAUGUGUUUAUAGUGGUGUUUUUAAUUGAUAUCUAAGAAAAUAAAAAUGAAUGCCUGGUCAGGCCAAGAGGGGGAUGUUAUGGGACCCACUGUCACACGUACGGGCAGUGCCAAGCCCAAUACUCCACCUCUGAAGAACGGCAAUGAUUUGAGAGAGUCCGGUUAUCUGAUAGCAGUUGGUUCCAGAACUUCCAGGUUCAGAAGAAAAUACAAGAAAAGAUUGCCGUUUUU
Trichoplusia ni (cabbage looper) is the source of this 1165-nucleotide long non-coding RNA. RefSeq lists it as uncharacterized. The transcript has 3 exons. The record is from RefSeq and is a predicted model, not a curated record. Lineage: Eukaryota; Metazoa; Arthropoda; Insecta; Lepidoptera; Noctuidae.